AACGAACGCUGGCGGCAUGCCUAACACAUGCAAGUCGAACGAGACCUUCGGGUCUAGUGGCGCACGGGUGCGUAACGCGUGGGAACCUGCCCUUAGGUUCGGAAUAACUCCCCGAAAGGGGUGCUAAUACCGGAUAAUGUCUUCGGACCAAAGAUUUAUCGCCUUUGGAUGGGCCCGCGUUGGAUUAGCUAGUUGGUAGGGUAAAAGCCUACCAAGGCGACGAUCCAUAGCUGGUCUGAGAGGAUGAUCAGCCACACUGGGACUGGGACACGGCCCAGACUCCUACGGGAGGCGGCAGUGGCGAAUAUUGGACAAUGGGCGAAAGGCUGAUCCAGCAAUGCCGGGUGAGUGAUGAAGGCCUUAGGGUUGUAAAGCUCGUUUACCCGGGAUGAUAAUGACAGUACCGGGAGAAUAAGCACCGGCUAACUCCGUG
RNAcentral lists this ribosomal RNA (433 nucleotides) under uncultured bacterium. RNAcentral describes it as "partial 16S ribosomal RNA". It matches the Rfam family "Bacterial small subunit ribosomal RNA", at positions 29 to 507 of the family's 1533-position model. The record is from RNAcentral.